UGGGGAAUAUUGGGCAAUGGACGCAAGUCUGACCCAGCAACGCCGCGUGAAGGAAGAAGGCUUUCGGGUUGUAAACUUCUUUUAAGAGGGAAGAGUAGAAGACGGUACCUCUUGAAUAAGCCACGGCUAACUACGUGCCAGCAGCCGCGGUAAUACGUAGGUGGCAAGCGUUGUCCGGAUUUACUGGGUGUAAAGGGCGUGUAGCCGGGUCGGCAAGUCAGAUGUGAAAUCUGGAGGCUCAACCUCCAAACUGCAUUUGAAACUGUUGAUCUUGAGUAUCGGAGAGGUAAUCGGAAUUCCUAGUGUAGCGGUGAAAUGCGUAGAUAUUAGGAAGAACACCAGUGGCGAAGGCGGAUUACUGGACGACAACUGACGGUGAGGCGCGAAAGCGUGGGGAGCAAACAGG
RNAcentral lists this ribosomal RNA (406 nucleotides) under uncultured prokaryote. RNAcentral describes it as "bacterial SSU rRNA". It matches the Rfam family "Bacterial small subunit ribosomal RNA", at positions 355 to 776 of the family's 1533-position model. RNAcentral also lists the same sequence under 1 other name. The record is from RNAcentral.